AUGAAACUCAAGAACACUUGUUCUUUGAGUGCAGCAGACAAGGAAAAAGGAUGGCGAAGACAAAUUCUUAAAGUUGAUGUGGCUGAAAUAAUCUAUGCUAUCUGGAUUUCAAAGUCAAAAAAGAAAAGAAAAGAUAAGAUAAAGAUUACAAGAAACCCUAAUUCUGGAUCUUCCUUUACUCCUCUUUCUCUACCUUCCUUUAUCUUCAUCAACAGGAUCAGGAGUUAA
Non-coding RNA from Vicia faba (fava bean), 228 nucleotides. The record is from the annotation of a GenBank genome assembly. NCBI's taxonomy places the organism in Eukaryota, Viridiplantae, Streptophyta, Magnoliopsida, Fabales, Fabaceae.